Molecule: non-coding RNA, 413 nt
Organism: Sus scrofa (pig)
Lineage: Eukaryota; Metazoa; Chordata; Mammalia; Artiodactyla; Suidae
Source: RefSeq, a predicted model, not a curated record
AAGCACAGUUCAAGGAGAGCAGUUGCUCUGGACCCCCACGGCCUGUGGCAGAAGAGAACUGCGGAGUUUUCAGUCUUUCACAGGGAAUCCUUCAGCUCGCCCGGCCGCUCCCUGAAGAGAGGACCCAGAAUGACAACCCAGAGAGAAGACAAAAGGUUAAAAAGAGAGGAAAAAAAAGAAAGAAAGAAGGAAAAAAGAAAAGAUGCCUUGCGGGUUUCCAAGUGAAGGAGACAAAAUUUGUGUGGAGGUGGUCACUCUCUAUAUUUUCUAAGUAAGAAGAAAGGAGAAGAAAUUCUGAAAGAAUCAGCAUUUGAACUGAAAAAGACUAUUUCAACAGGUAACUGUAUAGCAAAGGGAACUCUACCCCAUAUUCUGUGAUAACCUAUAUGGCUAAAGAAUCUGGAAUAGAAUGG